CCUACGGGAGGCAGCAGUGAGGAAUAUUGGUCAAUGGGCGCGAGCCUGAACCAGCCAAGCAGCGUGAAGGAUGACUGCCCUACGGGUUGUAAACUCCUUUUAUAAAGGAAUAAAGUUAGGCACGUGUGCCCUUUUGUAUGUACUUUACGAAUAAGGAUCGGCUAACUCCGUGCCAGCAGCCGCGGUAAUAUGGAGGAUCCGAGCGUUAUCUGGAUUUAUUGGGCUUAAAGGGAGCGUAGGUGGGUUGUUAAGUCAGUUGUGAAAGUUAGGGGCUCAACCGUAGAAUUGCAUUUGAUACUGGCAAUCUAGAGUAGAGUUGAGGUAGGGAGAAUUCGAGGUGUAGCGGUGAAAUGCUUAGAGAUCAGGAAGAACACCGAUUGCGAAGGCAGCUUACUAAAC
RNAcentral lists this ribosomal RNA (399 nucleotides) under uncultured bacterium. Its description in RNAcentral is "partial 16S ribosomal RNA". It matches the Rfam family "Bacterial small subunit ribosomal RNA", at positions 338 to 734 of the family's 1533-position model. The record is from RNAcentral.